GCAAACACAUUGUUGCCGAAUUUGGCUCACCGUUUCAGAGAAGCAACUAGGGGAGGUGCAAGCUCCUCAUCCUCUGUCCCCAACCGCACAAACAUACCUGACCCGCUUUUUGUGCAAGUUGUUCGCCAUGCUCUCACUAAUGCACAAGCAAACCCGAGUCAUUUCCAACAACAAUUGGAUAAUGCAGAGUUGGAAGGUNGCCAUGCUCUCACUAAUGCACAAGCAAACCCGAGUCAUUUCCAACAACAAUUGGAUAAUGCAGAGUUGGAAGGUCUUGCUAGGAACCUUCUCGAGGUUUCUAAUCCGGAGAGUCAAGGCACCUUCAACUCUAUUUUCUUCAGGGAGGUUGUGAACGUUGUCACGACAAUCAUGACCGACAUUUGCAACAAAUACGAGGCUGGAACCCAAGCUGUAAGUAGAUAAGUGUAAAAUUUGCAACAAAUAUAUAUAUGUUACUUGAUAUUGUUACUUGAUACUUGAUAUUUGCAACAAAAAUAUAUAUGUUACUUGAUAUUGUUACUUGAUACUUGAUACUUGAUAUUUGCAACAAAUUUGCAACAAAUAUAUAUAUGUUACUUGAUAUUGUAUAAUUUGUUUUGAACUGAAUUAAGAUUGUAAUUUGCAAUUUAUAAGUUAUUGAUGGUUUGUGGAUAUAAAUGGCAAUGAAAAUGAAACUUUUUUGUGUGUGUAUAUAUAUAUAUGUGUGUGUGUGUGCGCGCGCGCGCGCAGUGUAUGUAUAUGUUUCAUGUCUAUAUAAAUAUUAUAGUACUAAAUUUUCUAAUUUAGUGUGCAUAUAGAUCGACAUAUAUGGUGAUGGCAUAUAAAUUUUUAAUUAUUGCAGGCAAUUGCGGAGGCAACUAAGGAUAUCACCGAUGGUGAGAGUUCGGAGAAUGACAUUGAUGGGGAUGAUGAUGGUGAUGGCGAUGAGGAAGAUUGAAGUGAAGCUACCUAGCUAGAUGCAUUAUUGGUAGGGAUGCUGAUUUUGUUAAAACAUUGCUUUUGGCUUUUGAUUGUUCAGCUGUAACGUAUAUGAUUGUUGGCUUUUGUUGGCUUUUG
This 1056-nucleotide long non-coding RNA is filed under the name Daucus carota (carrot). RNAcentral's name for it is "long non-coding RNA (DCAR_LNC005257)". Lineage: Eukaryota; Viridiplantae; Streptophyta; Magnoliopsida; Apiales; Apiaceae. The record is from RNAcentral.